CAUGACUCGGCAAAAGUAACAUCGGUCUCAGUCUAAACGUUUGGGUAUAUUGAACAGAAAGUGAGCUCAAAAAGACAUGCAAGGUGAGGUGGAGGAGAGAGGACACUGGGGAAGUAAGGUGGAGUUUCUCCUGGCUGUUGCAGGGAAUGUCGUCGGCGUGGGCAAUGUGUGGAGGUUUCCUUACCUCUGCUACAAAAAUGGAGGGGGUGCAUUCUUGGUGCCAUAUCUGGUAUUUGUGGUGACCUGUGGCAUACCCCUGUUCCUGCUGGAGACGACCAUAGGCCAGUACACUCAGGAGGGCGGCAUCACCUGUUGGAGGAAGUUAUGUCCACUGGCAGAAGGUAUUGGCUAUGCAGGGCAGCUGAUCCUCCUCUACAGCUGUCCAACUUACCUUAUUAUUCUGUCCUGGGCGUUGCUCUACCUCGUGUUCUCCUUCAGCCCCCAGCUUCCCUGGGCCAGCUGCAACAACUACUGGAACACAGAUGACUGUGUAGACUUUUCAACAAACAAUGACAGUGUACCGUGGACCAACCUGACGAACUCGACCUCUGCAGCCACAGAAUUCUGGGAACGACGUGUGCUGGCUAUCUCAGGGGGCAUUGAGGACUUAGGCAGCAUCAGGUGGGAGGUGCUGUUGUGCCUAAUUACUAUCUGGAUCAUCUGCUACUUUUGUAUCUGGAAAGGUGUUAAGUCUACAGGCAAGGUAGUAUAUUUCACUGCUACCUUUCCCUAUGUGAUGCUGUUCAUUCUCCUGAUUCGUGGACUCACUCUUCCUGGUGCACUACAAGGAGUGAAGUUUUAUCUUCUGCCUGAACUCUCACGGCUCACAGAUCCUCAGGUGUGGAUGGAGGCUGGGACUCAGAUCUUCUUCUCAUACAGUAUUGGUGUGGGCUCUAUAAUCGUAUUAGGCAGCUACAACAAGUACAACAACAACUGCUACAGGGACUGUCUGUGGCUGUGUCUGCUGAACAGUGGUACCAGUGUUGUAGCUGGGUUUGCAGUUUUCUCAGUGCUUGGAUUCAUGGCUCAUGAGCAGGGCGUUCCCAUUGCAGAGGUGGCAGAGUCAGGUCCAGGCUUGGCGUUCAUUGCUUAUCCUCAGGCUGUAGCCAUGAUGCCUCUGCCUCAACUGUGGUCCAUCUGUUUCUUUGUCAUGCUCAUUCUCUUGGGUCUGGACACAGAAUUUAUCACCAUGGAGGUGGUCAUGACGUCCUUCACAGAUUUGUUUCCAAAUGUUAUGCGCAGGGCAGGCCGACGGGAGAAGUUACUCGUCCUCUUCUGCCUAAUAUGCUUUUUAUGUCAACUUGUCAUGAUCACUCAAGGAGGGAUGUAUGUGUUCCAGAUGAUGGACUACUAUGCUUGUAACGGAGUCUGCAUCCUCUUUAUUGGUGUAUUUGAAACACUGGCACUGGGACGAUUAUUUGGGGCAGAUCGGUUGUAUGGCAUCAUUAAGGACAUGACUGGGGUGAAGGCCAACCCUUUUUUCAAAAUCUGCUGGCUCUACCUCACACCGCUGGUCUCACUGGGCGCUUUUAUAUAUUCUUUAGUUGAGUACCAGCCUCUGACAUUUAAUCGCUGGUACGUGUACCCAGACUGGGCAUAUGUGUUGGGAUGGAUGAUGACUCUCUCAUCCGUUGUGCUUGUGCCUGGAUGUGCGCUGUUUAAGCUAAUCACUGGGACUGGGACCCUCAGACAGGAAACCCCCUGGUAGAAAAUGGACAUCUCAAGGAGCGAAUGAAUAAUACGGGUCGCCGUCUUCAACAGCUCCUCAUUGAAAAGGAGCAGUUCUUCAAGUGGGCAGAGGCCAGCAAGGUCAGAACCUGCAAACUAAAGGACCUGCUGAUUGACCAGAGCAGGCAGAUAAGGCAGCUGCAAGAAAAGCUGGGGCCUGAGAGCCACAACAGCACCCAGCAAGACCAGGCCUCCUCAGAGACACCAGCUCCCACCAUGACAUGAGCCAACGUGGUCAAAGGUCUGGGUAAGGCCAAACAACCAGUCAUCCUGAGAGAGGACCAGGCCUCUUCAGAGACACCAGCUCCAACCAUGACAUCGGCCAAUGUCGUUAAGGCUGAAGAAGAGGUCUAACAACCGGUCAUCCAGAGCGAAGACCAGGCCUCUUCCCAGACCCAGACUACAACCAUGAAUUGGGCCGAUGUCAUGGAAGCAGAGGAUGAGGUCAGGGAGCAGCUUCGGCUCAGAGAAGCUGAGGUUCUCCAACUCAAGCGGGAGAACGAGGGCCUCUUAGCAAUGCUGCAGGAAGCUCAAAACACGAAGAAAUGGGGGCCCUGAAAAACCAAGUGAUAUUCUUGGAGAACAAGAAUAAAAGUGCAGGAAGAAAACAACAAACUGCAGGAGGACAAACAAUCAGUGAUAGAAAAGACUAAAGAACUGGAGGGUAAGAUCUGGCUGAUUGAGCACAACAACAUCUCUCACAUAGAGCUCAAUAGCGAGAUGAAGGAAAAUAUUAAAACACUCCAGACAGAAAAGACAGAGCUUGAAGGCCAUUAUAAUCGCAGAUUCCUUCAGAUCAAGAAUCUGGAGAAACUGCUUUUCCAAGAAUCUCGCAGAAGUCAAGAGAUGGUGAAGAGCGUUGAGCUCAUGGAAAAGCAGAUCGCCAUCAGAGACCAGGAACUCCAUCGAAUCACUGGCAUCAAUGACAGCCUCUCAGCAGCGCUCUUCAAAACAAAGGAGCUGCUGCUGGAAGCCGGCAAUGAAAUCGAAGAGAAAGAACAGACCUGGAAGACUGAGCAUCAAUGUUUAGAGCAGCUCAGGAAUGAUGUUGCUCUGAAAGAACAAGAAAAUCAGGAACUGCUUAGGAAACAAACAGAGACAGACGACCUGCAGGAAAGAAUCAGACGAUUGGAACAAAACAAUCAGGAACUGCAGGAACUUUGGAUCCAAAAGAAAAACAAAAAGACUCUCUUUAAGUUUUUCAGGAGGACCAAAGGUAGAAAGAAUAACAAAAAACAGACUGAAGAGGUGAUCGAGGAGAGAGAAGAACAACAGGAGCAGGAGAAGAAGGCGAAGAUUAAGAAGAUGAGCUUCUGGAGUUGGUUCAAGAGCGACAGGAAGGUGGAGGAGGCUGCUGGUAGUUCAGCGUAGCCUCCUCUUUCCUCCAUCUCCUCACCCCCUCUACCUUCUUCCUCUUCACCUCUUCAACGUCUCUCACCCUCAUCCUCUCUGUUUCUUCCCUUUCUUUCCAUCUUUUCUUUUCCCUAACCCCCCCGCCCCUACUCCCCUACCACUACUACCUAUCCACUUACUAUCAGUCCGGCCAAUUAUGGCUCCAAUAUUUGGAACUUUUUUGAUUAUUGGUAUUGUCUAUUGACUAAUUAGUUUAAAAGACAUUAACCUUACUGGGCAAAAAAAAUGGCAGGUUUCCGGUUAUCACAUGUUGAUAAUACAUAGUGCUUCAUGUUUAUAUGUACAAUUUCUAAAAUGGUAAUCCUUAUUAAUGAUUAUUUGCUAUUAGUUGCAUUAUCUGUGCUUCUGAUAGUCCAGUUAUGAGUGGCCGGUAUGUGCUAUCACACAUACUGUUAGCAAAUAGCUUCUCAUGAUGUUCGUUCAACAUAGUAGUUAUUGAGUUUCUCAAUUACCAAAAAAAUAUAUAUAUGUUGUCGACAUCAGCCCUAAAAAACCUAUAUUGGUUAGUCCCUAUUUCUAUCACCCCCACUACCCCCACACUCUUUCUAUUCCCACUUUCCUUCACCCCCCUAAAAAAACAAAAAAUAAACUAAAAAUAAAACAAAAAAAAUCAUAUAAUAUUUCUGUAUAUGUGUGUAUCAGAUCUGAAGACUUCAUGUCUCAUUUCAGAGUUUUCAGGUUUUUGAAGAUUCUGAAAAUGAGCUGAGUUUGAAUUAUUUUCAGAUGGUGCUGCUUCUAAAUAUUCCAAGGAUUAUUUUCAGAGGAGACUAUCUUAAAUAAUCAAGUUUUAGUUUGAAGAGGAAUUUCUGACAGUUCAUUGUUUUUAUGAGUCUUCACAAAUAAUCAGAAUUUUUACUUUUAAUAAUGUUGGAUUUAUUUUGGAGUGUUUUAUGCUGUGAUUAGUCCUGCUGUUUUAUUCUGGAAAAUAUGAGUAUUCUGUACUUUUAUAAUAUCCUGUGCAAUAUUAUUCUGUAUACAUAUGAGGAGGAUUUAUGCUACAUAGGUAUUUUUCUGCUUAAAUAAAAUCUGUGCAAUAUAGAUAAUAAUUUGUGCAAUAUUAAUACUUAUGUCAACAUUUCCAUUUGUGAAAGAAUCUGUUUAAUACCACUGGCAUGUGCAAUAAUGUUCUAUAAUCAGUACUUAUGUAUAUCUUGUAUUGUUGAGUUUUUUUUUUAAAUUUCUGUAUUAGUUUUUCCUCCAAGACUGUUCAUUCCUCAAUUUGUGUAUUCAGAAAUCACAGCAACAUAAAAUCAGGUUAUUUAAUAUAGUGUUAACCGUUCCUGCUCAGCUGCCCGACUGUGGUCAGAAAGCACAGGGGAGGUCGGUUCUCCAGGGCCGAAGUUACCUUAGUUCACUUCGGGGUUAACCCCCUUCACUUCACCAGCGGUUAUGGAAGGCAAAACACAGGAGCCCAGCCUUGUCUGAGAAUGCUGCAGCCUUUAAUUGUAAACUGACUGUGGAAUACCGUACAGUUGCACUAACACAGAAGCUACACUUCUUAACUCUUCUUCUCUUAACCCUUUAAGACCCACCAUUGUGCAAGUCCGCCUGGACAUAUUUUUACAUUUUUACAUGUUGUAGUGCCAUUUUUUGGAGUGUUUUUAUUUGCUUUACAUCAAAAUAACCCUGAUAUCCCAAAUUUUAAUAAUAUGUAUUGACUUAUGUCUUAACUACUACAAUAAAUUGCUUAAAAGUGCAAUAAACCUUAAAAAAAUGAAAAUCGUUUUUGUUUUUUUCACAUAUAUUUCUAAAUACAGAAAUUGCAUAGCUGUAUCCCUCAAAUUUGUAAAUGUAAAAAAGUUGCACAAUAUCCUUUGGAACCACAGGAAAUUUUUUUGGAGUCUGUAAAUAAUUUGCUUUUUGAGAUAUGAUCAAUUUUGUAACCUGUAAAAAAAAAAACGAAAAUAAACAAAACUGCAAAAUUUGCAAAGAGACAACAUCAACAUCAAAACAAAUUAUUUACAAUAGUGCAAUCAAAUUUCUGUGUGCCAGAUACUUAUGAACACAUAUUUUAUGUACAAAACCAUGGUCAGACCAUAAAAAGUGCAUUUGAAAAUAAAAGAAAAUCGUUUUUACUGAGUUGAAUCAGAAACAGUAUUUUGAUGGUCUCCUGGUCCAAGUACUUGGACAGGUCUGAUGGAGAAGGGCUGUCCAUUACUUUCUUUACUUUUCUCCAACUCAAAACAAACAACUUCUCAUGAAUACAGACUUACAUAUCACUGGAAUGAUCAAUUCCUUCGAUAAGAUCGGCUUCAUCCGCGCUGGUGGCAGAAUCCGGGCCAGACGAGUGGCUGGACUCUUCAUCCAACGCUGUAGUUUGCUGGAGAGCUUCGCGCCAGAUGUAAAAUAGUUUGGCACGACCAGGUUUUCGCAGCUCCUCAACUAAUGUGUGGAAGUGUGUCAAAGGUUUGUGUGGUGGGUCCGUGUACGGAUCUGGUAAUUGGAUUUUCCGUUCUGAAACGGGUAUUGAAAAACAAAAAACGAGUGGUUAUUGAUUUUCGUUUUAAAAUACAAAAAUUAAAAUUGAAAUACAAGGCGUUUUUCCUUUUCAUGAUCAAAAAGGGGUAUACGAUUUUUUUUUUAAAAAAUGCUUUGAUUUUCGUUUUAUAUUUAGAAUAACAAGAAAGUAAAAUCAGUAAGAGACAGAAACGAAAAAAGGUCCGUUUUUUUCCAUUUUCUGGGACCGGAAGUGGUCAUCAGCAAGUGUGGAGCCAAACAGAGUACGGUGCAUAGACUGUACAUACAUUUUUUUUCGUGAGUUGUCAUGGUCAUGGUAUAGAGCGUUAAAGUUUUGCGAAUCCAGGGGGCGGGACUACUUGAUUGACAGUCCGGUCUGGAAUGAGUGACAGGUCCUAUGGAGGAGGCAGCAGAGACUCUGUUCUCCUCGUUUGGAUUAAUUCUGAUAUAAUAACUGUUGGUUUAUUUAUCGGUGCAGCAGCAGAACCUUUUCCACAGACAGUUUUCCUGCCCGUUGGCUUGUUUUAACCAGUUUUCUACCUUCGGCUGAUUCUACCAGCAGACACAGAAAGGACUCUGAUAGUUCGGUAAGUAAAUGUUUAUUUUCGUAUCGGUGCCGCUUUUAAUGCACUUUAUAUGCAGCUUUAGUGUCAGAUGUAAUGUGUGUCAUGCACUCCAGAUGUUGGUAGAGUUUGUUUCAGUGUGUGUUGACCAGAGAAGAAAGUUAGCAUAGUAAAUAUUAGCUUUAAUGUUAGCAAUGCUAACCGAGCUAGCUGCUCAGUCGUAUAGCCUGAUUAAAGCUAACGUAGCAUCAAGCUAAUGUGUUGAGUUUCAUGUAAACAGUUGAAGUGUGUUGUGUUCCUGUAAUGUGCUUCAUUAAGUUCAUAAAACUGUGGCUGGUUGACAUUAAUGUAACAUUCAGGAAACUUAAAUGUGAUUAAAACAGUAACAUUAAUGUUCUAGUUGUCAGUAAUCAGCUUUAAUAUGACACUAAAACAGACUAAUAGUUUUAAAUUACAUCAGUUUCAUUAAUUUGUUGAAAAUUGUCUCAUUUGUUGUUGUGAUGUUGCUGCUGAUUCAUUAAAAGCAGAUGAUCCAUGUUGAAGAUACGUUUAGUUCUAGUAUCAGAAGUACAAGAAGAAAAAUGGAAGUUUAGUUCUGCUACAUCAAAGAUUUCAGGAUUAAAAUAACUAAAUGAGUCUUUAUACCUCAAACUUUAUUUUUACAAUAAAGAAAUAAUGAAAUAAUCACAGAUAAUAAAAAUAUAAAUAGCAGAGAAAACCUGAGAGAAUAAUUUCCUGAAAAGUCUGUGAAGGAAAAGCAGCUUUUUAUCCUGAAAGAUCAGAAUCAGCUCCAACAUCUGCAUCUGACAGCAUCAAGUCAACCAGAAAGAAAAGAAAAAAGGAAAUGACUUCUUUCUGAUCACAUCUGUUCCGCUGCUCACAGUCUGCUGCUGCUCACAUUCUUCACAUUUAUAGUCCACUUUUAAAAGUUCAGCAGACAGGUCCUCUGCUUUGGAGUGUGACGAUGUCGUCGGCGGUGGGGAGAGUGAAGUUUCUGUUUCACCCACAGCAUGCUUUAGGGCAGCCAGGUCGGACUUGAUGUUUGAAAUACUGACCGACAGCUCAGAUUUAACUGUCUGUAGUUCUGUUUUGAUGGGUAUUAAACUUUCUUUCAAAGUCAACAGGAGCUGGGUCUUUAAAAUAACCGCCGUCUCGUUACAGAGUGAAAGCAGCAGUUCCUCCUUAAGGUCAGAGAUUGCAGCAUCUGAGGGCCUCUUCAAAAGAAGACGUAGUUGAUGAAGGCAUUCUGGAGCAGGACCAGAAAGACCACAACCAAGCAGCCUUGAGAUCUUAGGCAGCGUCUCUCUCGGCCACCAACCACUGGAACACAUCUCCAAAGUUCUGCUGGGCCAGCUCAACUUCCCCUCAGAAGAAGUGCUGCCACCUGCCAGAUGAAGGAGCCUUUUGAGAGGCAGCUGGCAUCGUGAUUGGACUGUACUUUGGUCUGUUCCAAUCCAGCUUCAGCUCCAGAGACGGCAGGCGGGACAAGUCAACGGAGGCCAGGUGGACGGAGGCAUGCAGCUGAGUCGAAAAAAAAUGUGAUUUUUAACAUGUUGUAAAAACGUGUCAUAUGAUGAAAUAAUGUAAAGGAGGCUGUGAAAAACACUCCAGAGAGAUUUUCUUUGAAAAAAAAAAUCAUCAUGAAUUUUGGCGCAAAAAAACGCCAUAGUAUAUACUAUGUUGAAAAAUUUGAUUUUUCAACAUGUUGUGAAAACAUGCCGUAUGAUGAAAUAAUGUAAAGCAGGCUGUGAAAAACACUCCAGAAAGGUUUUCUUUGAAAAAAAAAUCAUCAUGAAUUGUGGCGCAAAAAAACGCCAUAGUAUACUAUGUUGAAAAACAAAUGCGAUUUUUCAACAUGUGGUAAAAACGUGCCAUAUGAUGAAAUAAUAUAAAUUAGGCCGUGAAAACACUGCAGAAAGGUUUUCUUUGAAAAAAAUAUCAUGAAUUUUGGCGCAAAAAAACGCCUUACUAUACUAUGUCGAAAAAUGUAAUUUUUCAACAUGUCGAAAAAUGUCACUUUUCAACAUGUUGUGAAAACAUGCCGUAUGAUGAAAUAAUGUAAAGGAGGCCAUGAAAAACACUUCAGAAAGGUUUUCUUUGAAAAAAAAACAUGAAUUUUGGUGCAAAAAAACGCCACAGUAUACUGUCGAAAAAUGUCAUUUUUCAACAUGUUGUGAAAACAUGCCAUAUGAUGAAAUAAUGUAAAGGAGGCCGUGAAAAACACUCCAGAAAGGUUUGCUUUGAAAAAAAAAUCAUCAUGAAUUUUGGCACAAAAAAACGCCAUAGUAUACUAUGUCGAAAAAUGUCACUUUUCAACAUAUUCUGAAAACAUGCCAUAUGAUGAAAUAAUGUAAAGCAGGCUGUGAAAAACACUUCAGAAAGGUUUUCUUUGAAAAAAAAAAUCAUGAAUUUUGGCGCAAAAAAAAACUCCAUAGUAUACUAUGUCGAAAAAUGUCGUUUUUCAACAUGUUGUGAAAACAUGCCAUAUGAUGAAAUAAUGUAAAAGAGGCCGUGAAACACACUCCAGAAAGGUUUUCUUUGAAAAAAAAUCAACAUGAAUUUUGGCGCAAAAAAAAAACGCCAUAGUAUACUAUGUCGAAAAAAAAUGCGAUUUUUCAAGAUAUUGUAAAAACGUGCCAUAUGAUGAAAUAAUGUAAAGGAGACCAUGAAAAACACUAUGGUAAGGUUCCCGUUGACAAAAAAAUUAUCAUGAAUUUUGGCGCAAAAAAACGCCAUAGUAUACUAUGUCGAAAAAAAAAUGCGAUUUUUCAACAUGUUGUAAAAACGUGCCAUAUGAUGAAAUAAUGUCAAGGAGGCCGUGAAAAACACUCCAGAAAGGUUUUCUUUGAAAAAAAAUCAUCAUGAAUUUUGGCGCAAAAAAACGCCAUAGUAUAUACUAUGUCGAAAAAUGUCAUUUUUCAACACUAAAUCUUAUUGAAAAAUAUGUUUUACUGAAGUCCACCUCUUUCAGCCAUCUCUACCCCUCAUUAGAUACCACUCUAAGGUACAUUAUACAAAAAAAAUCCAGUAGAUGUCAGUGUUUUGAAAUAGCAUGCAGAGCAAGUUAGUCUGCUCACAGGAAGUUAGCACGAGCAAAAUCACUCCUCGCAUCAGGACUCUGUUUGCUGUGAUUUUCAAAGGUGAAGUAAUACUUUUGACAUAUUAUGGUGCCUAAGGAGUUGCUGAACACAAAUGUGUCAUUUGAAAUGUAAAAAAAAAAAGAUUUAAAAGGGUAAAAUAAUUUUUCUCAACCGUUUGGUAGAGGUCAAUAUUUUAAAAAUUGGUGGGUCUCUUCAUUAAAAAAAACCAUUGAUUGUUGUUAUUAGUGCCCCAAAGAGAUAAGAAAUACAAAGAAAUAAUUUUUCAUUGCCUUUUUCUUGGUGAGGAUGUUUAAGGGUUAACUUAACAUCUGUAAACAAAACAAAAACGUAUCAACAAAGUUUUCUGUUAGAGUUUGUGUUCUUGUAAGUUUAAAUCCAAGAUUUUAAAUACUUUCAUUUACUGCAAAUUAAUAUUGACUCCAAAUGUCACACUAAUAAUCAUUAUCAGCCUUAAAAACCCACAAAACACCCCUCUAUACUCGACCACACUUAGUACAGUCCGGUUCCCCCUUCUAUAAAUCUGCUUGGAAUCUUCCACUUCCUGUUUGUCAAAGUGGCCUUCUACCUGGACAGGUUUUGUUGGAGCUCAUGCAACAAGCAUUUUGGGUAACUGCACUUUAAUAUAAAUGGAUGAUACUGAAUUAGAGUCUGUUUUAAUGAGACUGAGUUAAGAUGUGUAGCUCUGUCAUUAAAUAGUAAAUUAUUUCCCAGAAUUCACAGAGAAAGGUCUGAAAUGUUUGCUAGGUUAGUGUCCCACAUGUUCUCUGGCUCAGCUAAAGCUAACUCUCUCCAACUUCUGGAUCUCUUGAGUUGCUUGUUGUUAAAAUAUCUUGCUAGAGGUGCUGAAGCUCAGAAAGUCUGAGAUGUUUGUUCAGAAUGAGCUCAUUCUCAAGUCUUAUCUGAACUGUCCUCUUUUGUUUGAACUUGCCCUAAACUUAGGAGUUAAUGACAGAGCAGCACAUUCAGGCUCAGUCUCAUUUAUGUAGCGAUUAAACUUCAGUGUCAUUCAUUGAUGUUAAAGUGCAGUUUUUCAAAUGUUGGUUGCACAUGCUCCCGACCAAACCAGUCCAGGUGGAAGACGAUGUGAAGAGAAAGCUCCAGAGGAUGAAUAUCACACAUUUACGUUGGAAAUAAAUGUCCUUUAAUUAGACAUUGUCAUGCAAAAGUUGGAUUUCCCUUUAAUGAUGUUCAAAUCUUUGUUGAGUGUUUUGUUGAUGUUGGCUUCUAAAUGUUUUUUGACACUCGGCCCCAAAGAUUAAAACCUUUUCCGGCGCACAAGCUGCAACAAUUCACACAUUAUCAACUAUCUUUCUGACUAAACUAAGAUAAAAAGUGAAAAACUGCCUGAUUCCUGCAUCAUGAAUGUAAAUCUUUUUGGUUUUUAUGAUGGUAAACUGAAUAUAUUUGGGUUUGACAUUUUAUAAACCAAAACAAGAAAUGAAUUACUGCAGAAAACAAUCAACAGAUUAAUGGACAAAGAAAAUGUGUUUUCCAACAUAUAUGGCUGAAUUACUCCAACAUUACAAGAUACAUACAAUUUAAAUUUAGUUUUAUUUAUAUAACGCCAAUUACAGGUCAAAUUGUCUCAAGACGCUUUAUUUUUAUAUUUUUUUUUGUCAUAUUUAAAAUAUGACAAAGUAAGAAAUUUAAACCUCUUGACUAAUCCAAUUUAUUAUUUGGUUUUUAAGAGACAAAUCGACAACUAAAAUAAGUUUCUCCACAAAAACUAAUAAAUAUGAGGUCGAAUAGAAGGAACAGUUUUAAAUACUGCAUUCCCACGAUGACAAGAAUAAAGUUUGUCAACAAAAAGUAAAUCUGCUGGUGGAUUCCAUUAAAGUCCUAAUAAAUGAUAAUAAAGUGUGAUACUAAAGAUUUGUGGUGCUAAAAAUCUCCAAGUAAAGAUAUCAAGUUGAGCAUUUGGAUGGAGGUUGAUAAAAGUUGACCUCCCUUCAUUUCUCUGGAACCGACUCCAUGGAUUUUAUGGAUGGUGGUUAAAGCCCUGCUCUUCUAGUGGUCUUCCUUCUAGUCGCUGUGAAAAGUCAGUCCAUCCUGGCCGACUUCAACACCUCUUCAUGACAGCUUGUUCUGCCUCCGACCUCGUGGAAACUCCAGAAACUCGGGAAAACCCAUGGAGACUCGAAGAACUCGUGGAGACUCGAAAAACUCGUCGGGCGGGGGAAGGUGUGGUGGGUGGUGGUGGGCGGUGGGGGAGUAGAGGGGGGAGGCCACCACCCACCUCCCCGCCUACUCUCCGCCCUGACUCCACCCAGACUCCGCCUAGGCCCAGCCCAUGUGGUCACUUCAGGAACUACGAUGCCAAAGGGACGACGAAUUUAUUUCUUUUCAUCUGAUCUGUAGCUCAGUGAGUUAAGGAUUUGCCUAUGGAGCUGCAGGUCGCUGGUUCAAGACCAGACACUUCUUAAGUUUUAUCAAAAUCCUGACAAAGACAAAGAAAGAAAAGUGCCAGUGGUGGGACUUGAACCUGCGACCUUCCACUUUGUAGUCUAUCCUCUUAACCCCCUGAGCUACUUGCUCAGAUACUAAUUCUUCUUUUUUUUGCGCAUUUAUCAUCUAUUUUUUGUCUCUUUCGGUUUUUUUUUUUAACACGAGUCUCGACUCGACCGUUUUUCUCAGGAGGUUGGACUUCAGCCUUUGUGCUGGAGGGUUGAACCCUCAGUUCCAAGACUUUCCAAAGCCUCCACACCUCCCCAGUCCUCAGGACCUGAGCUUUCACACAGUCUGAGGGCUGAAAUUUUCUAAGUCCCACAGUAGAUCUGUUAGUUUGAACCUUCAGACAGUCCAAGGACUGAAAUCCUCUAAGUUCCUGAGUAGUUCUCUGUUAGUUUGAACCUUCAGACAGUCCAAGGACUGAAAUCCUCUAAGUUCCUGAGUAGUUCUCUGUUAGUUUGAACCUUCAGACAGUCUGAGGACUGAAAUCUUAAAAGUUUCUCAGUACUUCUCUGUUAGUUUGAACCUUCAGACAGUCUGAGGACUGAAAUUAUCAAAGUUUCUCAGUACUUCUCUGUUAGUUUGAACUUUCUGGUUAACAGAAGCCUUAAAACUUGUGACCAUGAGUCUUCAUUUCACAUUUAGACCAUCCAUCUGAGUUCUUCUCAGACCUUCACCUGUGGGUUUUUUAGAAAUCCUGAACAAACUUUGAUUCUCUUCACUGAACAGUAAAGUUUGUGGAGAUCAAAAGGUAACAUUAGUUUGAUCAAUGCCUUCAACUACUAGUAGACUUUAUCUGGAAAGCAGUUUUCUGAAAUGAGUUCUUAGUAAUUCUGUCCACAAUCAAACCAAGAACAUAGAAAGAGGAAAUGUUUGAAGAAACAACUUGAUGUUUUCGUUUCAGACUAGAAAACGCUUUUAGACCUUUAUCUGUUUUUGCUCUUUUUGAUCGUUUUGUCUCUUCUGUUUAAUUUGAUCUUCUAAAGUCUAACUGGUGUCUUUUCAAAUGUUUUUUCUUUAGUUUGCUUCUUCUUAAACAUUUAGUUUUGCUCUUUUCUCACCUUUUAUUCUUUUCUAAUGUCUGAUUUGAUUUUGAAAUGUUUUGUCUUUUUAAUGUUUAAUUGUUUUUUCAAAUGUUUUAUCGGCUUGUUUGAAUUUUUUUCUUUCCCAAUAUUUAAUUUUUUGAUUAAAUCUUUAAGGUUUUUCUUUUUAAAUGUUUUACCACCUUUUAAUGUUUAAUUUUCUUUUUAAAUGCUUCAUUGUAUUUUCUGUUUAAUUCCUAUUUGAAGUUUUAUUGUCUUUAAGAUGUAAUUUUCUAAUUAAACAUUUAACUUUUUAA
Molecule: RNA transcript, 13049 nt
Organism: Amphiprion ocellaris (clown anemonefish)
Lineage: Eukaryota; Metazoa; Chordata; Actinopteri; Pomacentridae
Gene name: sodium- and chloride-dependent GABA transporter 2-like
Exons: 15
Source: RefSeq, a predicted model, not a curated record